RNAcentral lists this long non-coding RNA (820 nucleotides) under Malus domestica (apple). RNAcentral describes it as "long non-coding RNA (MDOM_LNC008944)". Lineage: Eukaryota; Viridiplantae; Streptophyta; Magnoliopsida; Rosales; Rosaceae. The record is from RNAcentral.
AUGCGGCCAUUUUCUGGGGAAAGUGAAGGCCAGAGCCCAUCGCCUCCUCCUCUCCUCCCGUCUGCAACAUAUCCCCUCCGGUAAACCCGCUUGCACGCACGCCCCAACAAAACCCGAUCCCGGACUUCCUUCGAAACCCGCUCGCAGCUUUUCGGCGAAUUGGCAUUUCUUUAUCUUCAGGAUUUAGUUUCACCAACAUUUCACUGCAGGUCAAUUCUGAAACUUCUUCUUCAUUUGGUGUUUGUUGCUGGAAUUUCAAUACCCAUUUGCUUGUUUUGAUUUUUUCCAGCCGCCCGUUUGGUUUUCGAUUGGUAGACUUGAAAAGUUUGGAUUUUUAAUUUGGUUUGGUGAGUUUAGAUGAUGGGUUUUCUGUAAUUGUUUUGGGAUUAAUACCAAUUUGCUUGUUUUAAUGUGUUCAUGCUACCCAUUUAGUUAUCAAUUGGUGAAGUUAGAGAAGUUUGAAUUUUAAUUUUAGUUUUGGUUAGAAAUUGGGGUUUGUGUAAUUUUUGAUGGGUUGUUUUGAUGUUUUUCAGCUACCCAUUUAUUUAUCAAUCCUCCUACGCUGCUUCGCCGAUGAGAGAUAGAAAGAGAGAGUGGAAAGAAGCUUCAAGGACGGUGAGAAUUGUCGUCGGCUUCGACUCAAUACUUCCAGUGUUGAGUUUUGUUGUGUUUAUUAUUUUAAUUUUCUUUAAUGAAUUAGAAAAGUUAACACUGUUAACUUUGAGUUAAGGCAUAGGACACGUGUUCAAAAAUUAAAAAGGAGACAUGAACGAGAUACAAAUUAGGGGACAGCAGAUCCCUGGCCACUCAGGACUCCAUU